RNAcentral lists this ribosomal RNA (279 nucleotides) under uncultured bacterium. RNAcentral describes it as "partial 16S ribosomal RNA". It matches the Rfam family "Bacterial small subunit ribosomal RNA", at positions 335 to 607 of the family's 1533-position model. The record is from RNAcentral.
GCCCUACGGGGCGCAGCAGUAGGGAAUCUUCCACAAUGGACGAAAGUCUGAUGGAGCAACGCCGCGUGAGUGAAGAAGGGUUUCGGCUCGUAAAGCUCUGUUGGUAGUGAAGAAAGAUAGAGGUAGUAACUGGCCUUUAUUUGACGGUAAUUACUUAGAAAGUCACGGCUAACUACGUGCCAGCAGCCGCGGUAAUACGUAAGUGGCAAGCGUUGUCCGGAUUUAUUGGGCGUAAAGCGAGUGCAGGCGGGUUCAUUAAUCUUAUGUGAAAAGCUUUGG